This 528-nucleotide ribosomal RNA is filed under the name fungal sp. RNAcentral's name for it is "eukaryotic LSU rRNA". The stretch from base 162 to 315 matches the Rfam family "5.8S ribosomal RNA". Lineage: Eukaryota; Fungi. The record is from RNAcentral.
CCUGCGGAGGGAUCAUUAUAGAGUUUUCUAAACUCCCAACCCAUGUGAACUUACCUUUUGUUGCCUCGGCAGAAGUUAUAGGUCUUCUUAUAGCUGCUGCCGGUGGACCAUUAAACUCUUGUUAUUUUAUGUAAUCUGAGCGUCUUAUUUUAAUAAGUCAAAACUUUCAACAACGGAUCUCUUGGUUCUGGCAUCGAUGAAGAACGCAGCGAAAUGCGAUAAGUAAUGUGAAUUGCAGAAUUCAGUGAAUCAUCGAAUCUUUGAACGCACAUUGCGCCCAUUAGUAUUCUAGUGGGCAUGCCUGUUCGAGCGUCAUUUCAACCCUUAAGCCUAGCUUAGUGUUGGGAAUCUACUUCUCUUAGGAGUUGUAGUUCCUGAAAUACAACGGCGGAUUUAUAGUAUCCUCUGAGCGUAGUAAUUUUUUUCUCGCUUUUGUUAGGUGCUAUAACUCCCAGCCGCUAAACCCCCAAUUUUUUGUGGUUGACCUCGGAUCAGGUAGGAAUACCCGCUGAACUUAAGCAUAUCAAA